GUAACUGUUCUUUAUUUAUUCAUAUAUAGUAUGAUAACAAGCAUGGUGCAAAAGUGAUACAGCAAAUAACAUAGAUUAACAGUUACAUGUAAUUCCUCAGGACGAAAUAGUUACAGGCAACGAGUAACACAUGAUAUGAGAUCAUUUAAACACGUCCCUAUAAUACAAUUGAAGUUCAAAGGCUGGCAAGUAUCAAGAACGCAGGUCGAGAAUGUUGAUCGACAAGUAUCCUUACACACAAUAACUCCGUUCUGCCCAUUCACAUAUGUUGUUGCCGAACCUAACACAAUCAGAAAAAACAGAAAUGGAAGCAAUGAAGUCAUAUUUUGAGAUAACUUGAAAUGUUCAAAGAUAUUGGCACUGAGUUUAGAAUUGUGGGAUAACUUAGUUGUAUUUAUAAUCAAGUAACCUCCAAAUUAAUUUAUUGAAUUACUUUUUCUCAAAGCAAUAAAAAGUUACGUGGAUUCACGGUAAUGUUUUGUCAAUACCACAAUACCAUAUGUUAUAGGGAAUUUGUAAACAUUAAUAAAACUUCUAGAGAGAAGAAGAAUGAAUAAUUCAGAUAUUUUCACUGCAAAAAUUGUAAAUAAUAUAUAUAUAUUUUUUCAUAAAAUAUUAGAUAUGAAUGAAAUUGUGUCUACUCAUUAGGGGUGAGAACAGGACGGGUCGCCUCGGUGGUAACCGAGUUCGAGUAAAGAGUUUUCUUAACCCCCUCUUCAUCACCUGGCUAAGUGUUCUUAAAUUCUUUAGGGGUAUUUUGCUUCCACCCCUCGACCAAGUGUUCUAAAAUCCUUCUUCGACCAGGUGAAUUAUCUUCGAAUUUACAGAAAGUCGAUCUUGAUAUCUUCAUAAAGUAGACCUCGUUUUCUUUUGAAAGUCGAGUUCGACUUUUCUAAAAGUCGAUGCCACUUACUACUAUGGUGAACUUGUUACGAAUUUCCUACUCUAACUUUUUUCUAUAAAUAGAAGCUCAUAUCCUUCAUUUUACUCCAACCAUGUCUCUUCUUGUUAGCCUCUCUUUGCCGAUUUUCUGCAAGGGGAAAUUGAGGAGUUUAACGAAAUUUUAAACAUUCUGGAUCCUCGAGCUUCUGUCGUGGAUCUCCUUGCUAAACGUCAACUGAUUUAUUGAGCGGCUGAGCUUUGCUGUACGUAGCAACUCGGGAGUCUAUAUUUAAAGAAUAAAAUGGUGGGGAAAUCUACGUUGAGGCUCCAAUUACAGUCCCUGCUCCAACUCAACGUCAGAAGUACCCUCGACGUGCCAGAUCUCAUAUGUCUAAUCUUCCUAGGAUGCUACACCGUCGGAUUAAUUUUAACAUAACCUUGUAAUUUUAUUUUUAAGAACUGGUAACUCCCAAUUUUAUAAAUAAAAUUAUUGUGUAUUUUUUUCAAAAUAUCGAUUCGGGUUUUAUUUUACAAGCAUUAAUUCCAUCUAGUUCGACUUUCCUUAAUUUUUGAAAAAGUCGAACUCAAAAUAUCGAUUUGGAAUUUUCUUACUUUCUCAUAAAAAACUACAAGCGUUUCUCCCUGUUCGACUUUUCUCAAUUGUCGAAUUCUGACUUGACUCGAAUUUUAUGGAAAAAGGAAAUCAUUCAGAAUGAAAUUACAAAUGAUGCAAUAAUAAUAAAAAUAGAAAAAUCUAAUAUUUGGGUAAACGACGUCGAGAUCUUGCCAAUGAUAUGUGUGUCAAUAUAGUUCUGAUUAGACACGAAAAAUUGAAAAUAUUCACAUUUCAUUAACUCAAGAUGUCCUUAAUUAAUUGGUAGUUCGAAAUGCCAAUUUUUUUGAGAAGGUUACUAACACCAAAUGAGUGACAGUAACAACCAUUCUUCAUUACUGAUCGUUAGAGAACAUAAACUAAAGAAAUCCCACGCAUAGGCCUAAGAUUGAGAAGAAGAAUCUCCCGAAGGAGCCUGAGGUUGAGAAGAAGAAUCUCCCGAAGGAGCCUGAGGUUGAGAAGAAGAAUCUCCUGAAGGAGCCUGAGGUUGAGAAGAAGAAUCUUUCGAAGGAGCUUAAUCGAGGGAGAAACAAAACUUUGUUGAGUAUCCGAUUCAUAACUUUUCAUUCAUUCUAGCCACUUAUAUACACAAUAGAAAUACAAUCCACCAACCUAACGUUGCCAUGUGACAAUUAUAACAUAUUAAUUCUAAUUAUUUAACUAAUUCUAAAAUAUUAAACCAAAGAUAAAACAGACUGUUACAGUGACCAAAAGGUUAGACAUCUCAGAUGAAAUUGUGAGUUGAUUUAUAUUAACAGGCAUUGAUAUUUACAAAUAUAAUUUUACUAUUUCUCGACAACAACAUAUUCAAUAUCCAAGAUUUUUGAACUUUAAUCGGUAGAUCGAAUAUAUAAAAUCACAGAGUUUCAGGUGCGGAUGUCCGCACCUGAAACUCGAUGUGGUGGACCGUCGGAUGACGUAAAAAUCUCAUCCGUUGGAAAUCCCAUCCGACGGCACGGAGGAUGAACCGCACCGCACGUCCUCCGUGCACUGAACUACACCGGACUUGGUAUCCGUUAUGGUGAAGUUCGGUGUCCGUGUCCGUUUCGUUCAUUUUGGUGAAGUUCUGGUGUCGUCAGUCCGUGUCCGUUCUGGCCAAGUUCUCACCGGCGCACCCAACCGCACCGGCGAGAACCGCACCAGAAGCGGAUCCUAUAUAAAAUAUUUUCGGUUACUCAUACUCCUAUAUAUAUAGAAAAAUUUGAGUCAUAAUAUAUGCGUAUUUCAGUGCUCGUUAGAAUAAGAUAUUUUUUUUUAAAAAACAUAAGUUUCGGACAUUAUAGAUUGUCGUCUUACGUACGUAACCCAGUUUCAGAGACGGUACGUCCGCAUCAUCGACGGAGUAGGGUAUCUCCAGAACAACAUCGCAGACGGCAUUGACCCGCUGGAACAACAUCACGGACGACAAUGACCUUUGGGAACUCCACUUGCAAACUCCAACUGCGAUGAGGGAACCACGAUUCUCUGCCAUUUCCAGGCUCACGAUGACGGAAUCGUCAUUCUCUGCCAACUUCCGAACUCGCGAUGACCGAACUUCUCUCACGAUUCCGCGAUAACGGAACUCCACUCGAGACGGACGGUUGUGCGAGUUCGUGCGAUGUGGACGGAUAUUCCAAACUCCACUCGAAUGUCCAUGAUGCGAACUUACGGUACCAAAAAUGCGUCUUAAAAAACAAUCCAAAAAUCCUCAUCACAACGGACAUUUUAUAAAGUAACUGUUCUUUAUUUAUUCAUAUAUAGUAUGAUAACAAGCAUAAUGCAAAAGUGAUACAGCAAACAACACAGAUUAACAGUUACAUGCAAUUCCUCAGGACGAAAUAGUUACAGGCAACGAGUAACACAUGAUAUGAGAUCAUUUAAACACGUCCCUUUAAUACAAUUGAUGUUCAAAGGCUGGCAAGUAUCAAGAACGCAGGUCGAGAAUGUAGAUCGACAAGUAUCCUUACACACAAUAAAUCCGUCUUGCCCAUUCACAUAUGUUGUUGCCGAACCUAACACAAUCAGAAAAAACAGAAAUGGAAGCAAUGAAGUCAUAUUUUGAGAUAACUUGAAAUGUUCAAAGAUAUUGGUUGAGUUUAG
This 3574-nucleotide long non-coding RNA is filed under the name Zostera marina. Its description in RNAcentral is "long non-coding RNA (ZMAR_LNC001135)". Lineage: Eukaryota; Viridiplantae; Streptophyta; Magnoliopsida; Alismatales; Zosteraceae. The record is from RNAcentral.